GGUGGGUUGGCGUAAUGGCAACGCGUUAGUUUCCGGUUAGUCAAACCAGCUAAAGAUUCUGGGUUCGAGUCCCAGGCCCGUCG
Pholiota conissans is the source of this 83-nucleotide non-coding RNA. Lineage: Eukaryota; Fungi; Basidiomycota; Agaricomycetes; Agaricales; Strophariaceae. The record is from the annotation of a GenBank genome assembly.